AGCAGCCGCGGUAAUUCCAGCUCCAAUAGCGUAUAUUAAAGUUGUUGCAGUUAAAAAGCUCGUAGUUGAAUUUCGGGGUUCAUACGUUGGUCGGGCUAUUUGGUCUGUACUUAUGUAAUGGAUUCCUACCUUCUGAAUAACCGGCAUGCCAUUAAUUUGGUGCGCCGGGGAAGCAGGACUGUUACCUUGAAAAAAUUAGAGUGCUUAAAGCAGGCUAUCGCCUGAAUACAUUAGCAUGGAAUAAUGAAAUAGGACGGCAUGGUUCUAUUUUGUUGGUUUCUAGGAUCACCGUAAUGAUUAAUAGGGAUAGUUGGGGGCAUUAGUAUUCAAUUGUCAGAGGUGAAAUUCUUGGAUUUAUUGAAGACUAACUUCUGCGAAAGCAUUUGCCAAGGAUGUUUUCAUUAAUCAAGAACGAAAGUUAGGGGAGUCGAAGACGAUCAGAUACCGUCG
RNAcentral lists this ribosomal RNA (450 nucleotides) under uncultured Glomeromycotina. Its description in RNAcentral is "SSU rRNA". It matches the Rfam family "Eukaryotic small subunit ribosomal RNA", at positions 569 to 1020 of the family's 1831-position model. The record is from RNAcentral. Lineage: Eukaryota; Fungi; Glomeromycota.